RNAcentral lists this ribosomal RNA (428 nucleotides) under uncultured bacterium. Its description in RNAcentral is "bacterial SSU rRNA". It matches the Rfam family "Bacterial small subunit ribosomal RNA", at positions 355 to 774 of the family's 1533-position model. The record is from RNAcentral.
UGGGGAAUAUUGCGCAAUGGGCGAAAGCCUGACGCAGCGACGCCGCGUGGGUGAUGAAGGCCUUCGGGUCGUAAAGCCCUGUCGGGAGGGACGAAACCUCGGUGACCUAAUACGUCACCGACCUGACGGUACCUCUUAAGGAAGCACCGGCUAACUCCGUGCCAGCAGCCGCGGUAAUACGGAGGGUGCGAGCGUUACCCGGAUUUACUGGGUGUAAAGGGCGUGUAGGCGGUUUCUCAAGUCCGAUGCUAAAGACCGAAGCUCAACUUCGGGAGUGCGUUGGAUACUGUGAGGCUAGACGGUCGGAGAGGGUAGCGGAAUUUCCUGAGUAGCGGUGAAAUGCGCAGAUACAGGAAGGAACGCCAAUAGCGAAAGCAGCUACCUGGACGAUUUGUGACGCUGAGGCGCGAAAGCGUGGGGAGCAAACC